RNAcentral lists this transfer RNA (57 nucleotides) under Bos taurus (domestic cattle). It matches the Rfam family "tRNA", at positions 8 to 63 of the family's 71-position model. Rfam says of the family: Transfer RNA (tRNA) molecules are approximately 80 nucleotides in length. Their secondary structure includes four short double-helical elements and three loops (D, anti-codon, and T loops). Further hydrogen bonds mediate the characteristic L-shaped molecular structure. tRNAs have two regions of fundamental functional importance: the anti-codon, which is responsible for specific mRNA codon recognition, and the 3' end, to which the tRNAs corresponding amino acid is attached (by aminoacyl-tRNA synthetases). tRNAs cope with the degeneracy of the genetic code in two manners: having more than one tRNA (with a specific anti-codon) for a particular amino acid; and 'wobble' base-pairing, i.e. permitting non-standard base-pairing at the 3rd anti-codon position. Lineage: Eukaryota; Metazoa; Chordata; Mammalia; Artiodactyla; Bovidae. RNAcentral also lists the same sequence under 6 other names. The record is from Rfam by way of RNAcentral.
UGGCUUAGAUGGUAAAGAAUCUGCCUGCAAUGCAGGAGACCCAGGUUCGAUCCCUGG